This 970-nucleotide ribosomal RNA is filed under the name uncultured bacterium. Its description in RNAcentral is "bacterial SSU rRNA". It matches the Rfam family "Bacterial small subunit ribosomal RNA", at positions 110 to 1099 of the family's 1533-position model. The record is from RNAcentral.
GUAAUAUAUAGAUAACGUGCCUCUUAGUCUGGGAUAGCCAUUGGAAACGAUGAUUAAUACCGGAUACUCCUUCUAACUCUAAUGUUAGUCGGGAAAGUUUUUCGCUAAGAGAUCGGUCUAUAUCCCAUCAGUUAGUUGGUAAGGUAACGGCUUACCAAGGCAAUGACGGGUAGCGGGUUUGAGAGGAUGAUCCGCCACACUGGUACUGAGACACGGACCAGACUCCUACGGGAGGCAGCAGUGAGGAAUAUUGCACAAUGGGGGAAACCCUGAUGCAGCAACGCCGCGUGGAGGAUGACGCAUUUCGGUGUGUAAACUCCUUUUAUGAGUCAAGAAAAUGACGGUAGCUCAUGAAUAAGCACCGGCUAACUCCGUGCCAGCAGCCGCGGUAAUACGGAGGGUGCAAGCGUUACUCGGAAUCACUGGGCGUAAAGGACGCGUAGGCGGGAUGCCAAGUCUGAUGUGAAAUCCUAUGGCUUAACCAUAGAACUGCAUUGGAAACUGGUAACCUAGAGUAUGGGAGGGGGAGAUGGAAUUAGUGGUGUAGGGGUAAAAUCCGUAGAUAUCACUAGGAAUACCGAAAGCGAAGGCGAUCUCCUGGAACAUAACUGACGCUAAGGCGUGAAAGCGUGGGGAGCAAACGGGAUUAGAUACCCCGGUAGUCCACGCCCUAAACGAUGAACACUAGUCGUCGCUCUGCUUGUCAGGGCGGUGAUGCACUUAACAGAUUAAGUGUUCCGCCUGGGGAGUACGGUCGCAAGAUUAAAACUCAAAGGAAUAGACGGGGACCCGCACAAGUGGUGGAGCAUGUGGUUUAAUUCGAAGAUACGCGAAAAACCUUACCUGGCCUUGACAUUGAUAGAAUCCAGCAGAGAUGCAGGAGUGCCCUUCGGGGAGCUUGAAAACAGGUGCUGCACGGCUGUCGUCAGCUCGUGUCGUGAGAUGUUGGGUUAAGUCCCGCAACGAGCGC